RNAcentral lists this ribosomal RNA (253 nucleotides) under uncultured bacterium. Its description in RNAcentral is "partial 16S ribosomal RNA". It matches the Rfam family "Bacterial small subunit ribosomal RNA", at positions 524 to 776 of the family's 1533-position model. The record is from RNAcentral.
UACGUAGGGUGCAAGCGUUAUCCGGAAUUAUUGGGCGUAAAGAGCUCGUAGGCGGUCUGUCGCGUCGGCUGUGAAAACCCGGGGCUCAACCCCGGGCCUGCAGUCGAUACGGGCAGACUAGAGUGCGGUAGGGGAGACUGGAAUUCCUGGUGUAGCGGUGAAAUGCGCAGAUAUCAGGAGGAACACCGGUGGCGAAGGCGGGUCUCUGGGCCGUAACUGACGCUGAGGAGCGAAAGCGUGGGGAGCGAACAGG